UGGGCCCUAAGCGUGGUGGUGUCCAUAGAGGGACUAGACAGUCGUCCCGACAAAGGGGACAGGAUCCCCAGCUCAGGCAGGAGUAAGUUCCUGUUCCUGCACCGGUACCUGAACCGGUAGAGCAAUCUGUUGUUGGAGGCCCGUCAGGAGCCGUACCUGCUGUGCCUACUAUGCAGGGAGAUCCCAACUUCCAGCAAACUUUGGAGUUGCUAACUCAGGCUUUAGCCAGGACUGGG
RNAcentral lists this long non-coding RNA (236 nucleotides) under Prunus persica (peach). RNAcentral's name for it is "long non-coding RNA (PPER_LNC002174)". Lineage: Eukaryota; Viridiplantae; Streptophyta; Magnoliopsida; Rosales; Rosaceae. The record is from RNAcentral.